This 24-nucleotide non-coding RNA is filed under the name Drosophila erecta. Lineage: Eukaryota; Metazoa; Arthropoda; Insecta; Diptera; Drosophilidae. The record is from RNAcentral. RNAcentral also lists the same sequence under 1 other name.
ACUUCUCUGACGAUGAUCUUGGGG